AAGAACACUGGAGUGGGUUGCCACUUCCUUCUCCAAUGCAUGAAAGUGAAAAGUGAAAGUGAAGUCGCUCAGUCGUGUCGGACUCUUGGCGACCCCAUGGACUGCAGCCCACCAGGCCAAAGUGUCAUAACUCUGUAAAUUGUAGAUGACUGAUAAUGCAAAAUGAUUCUUGUCUAAAGACAUGCAAAUAACUUUUCAUGUUAUUUGGAAGCCGGAGAGAGAAGCUCCCUCCGCCCCUCACCCCCACCUCAACCCGGGAGAAUUUUGGAUCCACUUGCAGGUUAAUUUCAAUGUUAUAAUAUCCCUCGGGGGCCCCCACCUCCCUCCCACCAUUACACCCCCAGCAGUAGCGCUCUCAGAAUCCUGGGCUGGUGGAGGAGGGGGCAGACACGAUGUUCUUCCCGUUUCCUGCACCCUCCUCUGCAGAGCUCUUGGCAAGGGGUCCCCGACGGGGCUUGCGGAUGUUCUGGGGAUCCAGGCUUGGCGCCCUAGACGGCGGGCGGCGAGGACCGUCCCUAGUGCGCCCUGGGUGGGUAGCGCAGUGGGCCUGGAGUCAGAGGGGCUGUUGGCAGGGGCCCAGGCAGGGCACUAGGCCGAGGCACCCCUGCCAGGUGAGUCUGAGUUGGGGGGAGGAAGUGCGGAUGAAAACUGGGGUCUGGUUGCUAGGUGGCGUGAGGAGUCGUCCAGGAGGAGGGACCUGCAGCACGCUGGGCACCCAGGUGUUGCCAUUUCAGGACCUCCCGCAGGCACUUUGAUCUCUGAGAUUCUGCCAGAUCUGGCUUCCUCUGGGAAGACCGGCGAAGGUAGCGGUGCCUUGGGUAGGACUCAGCAGUCUCUGAGCCUCCUCUCCACCUUGCUGCAUUCCAGCCUGGCCUCUGCUUGCUCCUCCAUCAGGACCCCACUUACAACCGCCAGCCCUCCUUCACCAGGCCCACCCUUGGCCCUCAGGUGACCUUCGUGGUGUUCAAACGCGAGAACAUUCCCUGAUGGAGGGGCUUGGGUGAAGGGACCCGCUCUCCCCUCGCAGGGUGCUGGCUGUUGGGUUGUUUUUUCAACGAGAAAGCAACACGUUGAUGCUAUUCUUCAGAGGAAAGACUCCAAGAGUAGGAGUGAUAUCAACUGGGAUGAAUUCGAGACACCUCACAGCUGCUGGCAGCAACAACUGGACCCAAGACUGUGGAUUGCCAUUUUCAACUGGAGGCAGAACUCUGACGGGCCGUCUGUGCAGUAAGCCAAGUCGUGAGACCCCCGCUACAGCCUAACUCCUCCUCUGCCCAGUUCUGCCAUCUCCCUUUUCACAGGUGUUGAUCUCAAGAGUGCUCCCUAAUAAACAUCCUGAACGCUAAGCUUGACC
Bubalus bubalis (water buffalo) is the source of this 1354-nucleotide long non-coding RNA. RefSeq lists it as uncharacterized. The transcript has 2 exons. The record is from RefSeq and is a predicted model, not a curated record. NCBI's taxonomy places the organism in Eukaryota, Metazoa, Chordata, Mammalia, Artiodactyla, Bovidae.